RNAcentral lists this ribosomal RNA (643 nucleotides) under uncultured Actinomycetes bacterium. RNAcentral's name for it is "bacterial SSU rRNA". It matches the Rfam family "Bacterial small subunit ribosomal RNA", at positions 232 to 885 of the family's 1533-position model. Lineage: Bacteria; Bacillati; Actinomycetota; Actinomycetes. The record is from RNAcentral.
CGCGGCCUAUCAGCUUGUUGGUGAGGUAACGGCUCACCAAGGCGACGACGGGUAGCCGGCCUGAGAGGGCGACCGGCCACACUGGGACUGAGACACGGCCCAGACUCCUACGGGAGGCAGCAGUGGGGAAUAUUGCACAAUGGGCGAAAGCCUGAUGCAGCGACGCCGCGUGAGGGAUGACGGCCUUCGGGUUGUAAGCCUCUUUCAGCAGGGAAGAAGCGAAAGUGACGGUACCUGCAGAAGAAGCGCCGGCUAACUACGUGCCAGCAGCCGCGGUAAUACGUAGGGCGCAAGCGUUGUCCGGAAUUAUUGGGCGUAAAGAGCUCGUAGGCGGCUUGUCACGUCGGGUGUGAAAGCCCGGGGCUUAACCCCGGGUCUGCAUCCGAUACGGGCAGGCUAGAGUGUGGUAGGGGAGAUCGGAAUUCCUGGUGUAGCGGUGAAAUGCGCAGAUAUCAGGAGGAACACCGGUGGUGAAGGCGGAUCUCUGGGCCAUUACUGACGCUGAGGAGCGAAAGCGUGGGGAGCGAACAGGAUUAGAUACCCUGGUAGUCCACGCCGUAAACGUUGGGAACUAGGUGUUGGCGACAUUCCACGUCGUCGGUGCCGCAGCUAACGCAUUAAGUUCCCCGCCUGGGGAGUACGG